Molecule: long non-coding RNA, 381 nt
Organism: Bombus huntii
Lineage: Eukaryota; Metazoa; Arthropoda; Insecta; Hymenoptera; Apidae
Exons: 2
Source: RefSeq, a predicted model, not a curated record
UCUGAAAUAAUUUGCAAUUUUCUUCCGGUAGCGGUUAUGAGACAUCGCGAAGUUUCUUGAUCGUUAGCUUGAAUAUAAACGUGAAAAAUGUGAGUAUUUUAUUGACGAAGAUAAUUAAGACUGGAUGAAGGCGAAAUCGUAAUAAUGAGCUGGACGAUCGGAACGACGAUUUUAUGGUCGGUCGGUAAGGAGGUAGAAAAACGUGACCGCAAGUCUUGAUGAUCCGCAGAAACGCAAGGAACUGAACCGUCUCAUGACAAAUACUUAACCACGAUUCAAUUGGCAUAACUAUUAACAUAACCGCAAAAGGAGAUAAAAGAAACAUGAUAGAAAAUACUUUCACGGUGUUAAUGGAAUUUAUAUAAACGUCGACUACGGUAA